RNAcentral lists this long non-coding RNA (572 nucleotides) under Homo sapiens (human). RNAcentral describes it as "HSALNT0353701". The record is from RNAcentral. Lineage: Eukaryota; Metazoa; Chordata; Mammalia; Primates; Hominidae.
CCUGCCCGGAGCCCUGCCCGUCUUGGGCCCGCCCUUCCGGGCCCUGCCGCGUUGAGUGGCGGAGUCGGGAUCCAGGUGGCCCGCCGGCCGGCUCAGUCCACCUCCCCGCUCCCGGCCUCGCGCCCCACCCCUUGGAUGAGAAAACUGAAACUGAGAGGGGACGUGACUGAUCCAACGCCCAACCCAGAGCUGGAUCACAAGGAAGACUGGAAGCUCCACUCCCCCAUGGAGCUUCCCUGUUACCAGAGGACACAAACACACAUCUGCAUGUUGAUCUGAGAGCCCUGUGUGGAGAGGAACUAGGCCCCCAGCCAACAACCAGCAGUGACUCACUGUGAGAGAGUGAAUCAUCUUGGAAGUGGAUCCUAAGCCCCAAUAGAGACUUCAGAUGAAACUGCAACCCUGGCUGACAUCUGACUGCAGUGGCAUAAGAAACCCUUAUGUCAGAAUCACCCUGCAAAGCCCAAAUUCUUGACCCACCAAGUGAAAGAGAAUAAAUGACGAUUGUUGUGUUUGAACUCCCAUGUUUUUGGGUAAUCAGUUCCACGGCAAUAAAUAACUAAUGUACUAGA